Molecule: long non-coding RNA, 765 nt
Organism: Medicago truncatula (barrel medic)
Lineage: Eukaryota; Viridiplantae; Streptophyta; Magnoliopsida; Fabales; Fabaceae
Exons: 3
Source: RefSeq, a predicted model, not a curated record
AGCACACAAAGGUUUGACGUGUUUUCCUUUUAUUGUAUGAAAGUCUCUUAUAAAAGGGCCUAAAUCUAACUUCAAUCAUGCAUGUUCAAAUUAUUCAAACUAAAAAUCAUGUAAGCUCAAGGAGAAAGAUGCAAGUUGAUGAGGUGUAUGAGGUUACGAUAGCCUCUUUGAUAUGAUCUUCGCCAAGCCUUUGAGUGUGCGAAAGAGAAGACCAUCUUCAAUCCAUUCUACGAUCCUAGGUUUUGUAUCUUGCUCCUAACGGUUUUGAUGAGGAAUCAUCUCCUAAUCAAUGUACCUUUUGGAGGAUGGAUCAGAGUCGAGCCUAAUAAAUUUUGAAUUGAUUUUAAAUGAUUUAUUCAAAGUUUGACACGUAUUAAGGUUUAUGGAUGUUGUUUGGGAGAGAAUAUAUGAAUCUUGAAAGCGAUUUUUGUGCAAGGAAAGCUAUAGAAAACAAUUACAUUCAUGACAUGGACAAGACCGUUCAUUCAUUCAUUCAUUAGGUUUCAAAUAGAUGUCUUGGAUGUUGGAACUUUUGUCUCUCCUUUCUCCACUGCAUAUCUAAAUAUGUUUUGGGAUAGUUGUCUUUGCUUAUUUUACUUUUGUAUUCCAUGAAAUUGUUUUAGGAUUUUUUUUUUUUUAUUAUCAAUCCUUGACACUUGAUUAGAAAUAAAUAGAGAAAAAAAUAUGACUAGGAGGAGGGAGAUUGUGCAGGGAAGGAUGUCAUCGAUGAGAAUAUAAGAGAACAACAAAGCAUUUAUUUAUUCA